RNAcentral lists this transfer RNA (68 nucleotides) under Enterococcus faecium. Its description in RNAcentral is "tRNA-Met". It matches the Rfam family "tRNA", at positions 5 to 66 of the family's 71-position model. From Rfam's summary of the family: Transfer RNA (tRNA) molecules are approximately 80 nucleotides in length. Their secondary structure includes four short double-helical elements and three loops (D, anti-codon, and T loops). Further hydrogen bonds mediate the characteristic L-shaped molecular structure. tRNAs have two regions of fundamental functional importance: the anti-codon, which is responsible for specific mRNA codon recognition, and the 3' end, to which the tRNAs corresponding amino acid is attached (by aminoacyl-tRNA synthetases). tRNAs cope with the degeneracy of the genetic code in two manners: having more than one tRNA (with a specific anti-codon) for a particular amino acid; and 'wobble' base-pairing, i.e. permitting non-standard base-pairing at the 3rd anti-codon position. Lineage: Bacteria; Bacillati; Bacillota; Bacilli; Lactobacillales; Enterococcaceae. The record is from RNAcentral.
CCUUAGCUCAGUUGGCCAGAGCAGACGGCUCAUAACCGUCCGGUCGUAGGUUCGAGUCCUACAGGGUA